Molecule: ribosomal RNA, 253 nt
Filed under: uncultured bacterium
Lineage: Bacteria
Description: partial 16S ribosomal RNA
Rfam family: Bacterial small subunit ribosomal RNA
Source: RNAcentral
UACGAAGGGGGCUAGCGUUGUUCGGAAUUACUGGGCGUAAAGGGCGCGUAGGCGGCGUGUCAAGUCAGGCGUGAAAGCCCCGGGCUCAACCUGGGAACCGCGCUUGAGACUGGCAUGCUCGAGUUCGGGAGAGGAUGGUGGAAUUCCCAGUGUAGAGGUGAAAUUCGUAGAUAUUGGGAAGAACACCGAUGGCGAAGGCAGCCAUCUGGACCGACACUGACGCUGAGGCGCGAAAGCGUAGGAAGCAAACAGG